UGUGCAACAUGUGUGGAAUAUGAGCAUUAUGCUGAAUGUCACUCCACACAUGCUAUACGGGUGUCGACUUGUGUGCAAGUGUGGCGUUCAAGAUUCUAGCGUGGCAUGUGUGGGACAAUUGCAUAUUAUUACUGGUACUACAGUAGUAGGUGUUGUAGCUAUGAAUAUGAACACAUCGUCAAGGACCAAAUGAGUUGAAAUGACACAGAGAGCAUUCCUGCAGAGGAACGUGUUACAGUUGCUCUCAGGUUUCUAGCAACAGGUGACUCCCUCCAAGAUCAAAAAUAGCCUCAGCCAUUUCCACAUGAUCGCUGUCUAAUAUAAUUCCCAAGACACGCAAAGUACUUUAUCACGAAUGUGGCCAAAGGUCAUGAAGUGGACAGGAUAAACGUUUGGAGCAAAUGGUUUAUGAAGUCCUUGACAAGUUUUCAGAUGGUGAAAUAGGGCUGCCUGAUGACAAUUCGGAUUAUAUGUCAUAUGAAAACUUCCCUAAUCAUGCCAACAUUUCAGAAGGGAAGAAAAAAGGACAAAGGAGGUGUGUGGUGUGUAGCAAAAAGUAGAAAUGUUCAACAGGAAAGACUGGAGGCAAGGACAUCUCAUAUGAGUGCACUGAAUGUAAUGUUGGAUUGUGUAUUUCCUCCUGCUUCAAAGUUUAUUACACCGUUGUCCACUAUGAAUGCUAAA
Schistocerca piceifrons (Central American locust) is the source of this 684-nucleotide long non-coding RNA. RefSeq lists it as uncharacterized. The record is from RefSeq and is a predicted model, not a curated record. The transcript is spliced from 3 exons. NCBI's taxonomy places the organism in Eukaryota, Metazoa, Arthropoda, Insecta, Orthoptera, Acrididae.